This 1246-nucleotide long non-coding RNA is filed under the name Mus spicilegus (steppe mouse). RNAcentral's name for it is "lncRNA (ENSMSIG00000030285.1)". Lineage: Eukaryota; Metazoa; Chordata; Mammalia; Rodentia; Muridae. The record is from RNAcentral.
CAUUUACUAACCUAUAACUCUUCUUUAUGUAGACCAGCUGGCUUUGAACUCAGGGAGAUCUGCCUCCUUUGGCCUCUGGAGUGCUGGCGUCUUAAAGUCUCCACUCUCUCCUAGCACAGUCAAUCUGAGGACCAAACCUCAACCCAUGGGCCUUGGGGGGCAUUCCAGAUUGAAUUCUUGCAGUAGGCUUUUGUCAUUUGUUCGUUUGGUGGUUUGUUUGUUUUGGGUUUGUUUCUGUGGUUCCCCAAGAAGCUUGGGAUGGGAAAUGGUCUAAGCAAGUCUUGCUGCAAAGUGAGCCUCUUACAGAAGGAAACAGCAUCUACUCUCCUUGCUGCCAUUGUGUAUCAGCUGUCAUCAGGCUUCUACUGAAAUGCGUCAGCAAGGAACAGUUCUACCGUGGUCACAGUCAAGCCUGGUUGCUAUGGAGCUAUCUGAUGGACAGCUGGAGAGAGGCGUCAUCUGCCAGGAUUCUAGAAUCACCACAGCAGGGAUGUACUGAUGUUCAGAACCAACAGGAGAGUGUGGACAUCAAAGGUCAUCUUCAUCUUCCGCCAGUUUUUGGAAGGAGGCCGGGAAGUUGUGAUGAAGUUGCUAUGAAGACUGUUGUUAAUCUGAGGAAGAUGGCUGCGUGGCUAGGUGGGCUUUAUGAUCAGUAACACCUCGUCAGGAGGAAGACGAGGCAGUCACAUGCCUGAGAAGAACAAAGCUUCAUGAUAUCUUUUUCUUUCCUUUAAGAAUGAAGCCCUUUGAGAUCCUGCAACUCACAUUACUUCAACAGCUAUGGACUUAGUCUUCCCGAGGAACUUGCUCUUAUCACCCGUGUCUGAACCUGCCCCGAUGUUAUUGUCUGCUAGAGAGAACCUUGGAACUUUCCAUCACACCCCUCUAAUCCACCAGAUAGUGACCAUAGUCCCCAGAGGGUGAUUAGAGUCUUUGCUGUCCAGAAGUGUCCCUUAGAUGUCUUUUCAAAGCUCCGAUGAGCAGCUGACAGGUGGAACAAUAGAAUCAGGAUUUGGAGGGUGGGUCCCAAGUUCAGGGGUGCUCAAAACUCCCUCCUGACUCUGAUUGACACUGCCAAGGAUGAAGGCUGGCCUGGGGUUAUGAGUGUAUCCUGACUACUACUUGCACUUGACUUUGUGCUGCUGGUCAGUUUCUUCCCCCCCCCCCCCCGCAUCCUCCACCUCAGUUUCUUCAUAUGUGAAAUGGGAACAGGAGUGCUACUACCGUACAGUGUGAGAAAUAGGUG